This 254-nucleotide ribosomal RNA is filed under the name uncultured bacterium. RNAcentral's name for it is "partial 16S ribosomal RNA". It matches the Rfam family "Bacterial small subunit ribosomal RNA", at positions 524 to 777 of the family's 1533-position model. The record is from RNAcentral.
UACGAAGGGGGCUAGCGUUGCUCGGAAUUACUGGGCGUAAAGCGCACGUAGGCGGCUUUCUAAGUCGGGGGUGAAAUCCUGGAGCUCAACUCCAGAACUGCCUUCGAUACUGGAAAGCUUGAGUCCGGGAGAGGUGAGUGGAACUGCGAGUGUAGAGGUGAAAUUCGUAGAUAUUCGCAAGAACACCAGUGGCGAAGGCGGCUCACUGGCCCGGUACUGACGCUGAGGUGCGAAAGCGUGGGGAGCAAACAGGG